Molecule: ribosomal RNA, 497 nt
Filed under: uncultured bacterium
Lineage: Bacteria
Description: partial 16S ribosomal RNA
Rfam family: Bacterial small subunit ribosomal RNA
Source: RNAcentral
GACGAACGCUGGCGGCGUGCCUAAUACAUGCAAGUAGAACGCUGAAGAGAGGAGCUUACUCUUCUUGGAUGAGUUGCGAACGGGUGAGUAACGCGUAGGUAACCUGCCUUGUAGCGGGGGAUAACUAUUGGAAACGAUAGCUAAUACCGCAUAACAAUGGAUGACACAUGUCAUUUAUUUGAAAGGGGCAAUUGCUCCACUACAAGAUGGACCUGCGUUGUAUUAGCUAGUAGGUGAGGUAAUGGCUCACCUAGGCGACGAUACAUAGCCGACCUGAGAGGGUGAUCGGCCACACUGGGAAUGAGACACGGCCCAGACUCCUACGGGAGGCAGCAGUAGGGAAUCUUCGGCAAUGGGGGCAACCCUGACCGAGCAACGCCGCGUGAGUGAAGAAGGUUUUCGGAUCGUAAAGCUCUGUUGUAAGUCAAGAACGGGUGUGAGAGUGGAAAGUUCACACUGUGACGGUAGCUUAACAGAAAGGGACGGCUAACUACGUG